AUUGACUCUAAAGCAUUUUCAGCUAUAAUUUUGCUUAUCUCAUGACUCAGUAGUUCAUUUUUAAAUAUAUGCUACAAAAUAGAUGCUAAUUAGAAUUCCAGACUAAAGCCAUCAAAAAUAGAAACAUAUUCCACUGUCUUUCAAUUAUUCCCUUUUACCUAGUAUACAAUCCAGACCCCCCACUCAUGUUUUUUUUUUAAUUUCAAUUAACAUUUCUAGAACAACUCAUUCACUUGACAAAUAAUAACUUUUGAAAUGGUUUUUUCUUAUUAACCAGUCAUCAAGUCUUCUUCGAAAGUUCUCACAAUCAUUUCUUUUCUUUUUUUUCACUUUCAGGCUGUAUGUUGUGUUAAGGGUAAGUGAUUUAUUUGGGGGGUAUGAUAAUUGCAUGUCUAAGAAAUUUUCUGUAAUUUUUUAUUCAUCCAUGUAUGCUAAAUGCCUGCAAAGUUCAUAUUGAUCAAAAUGUACUAAUUUCCUAACUAGCUUGACUCUAAGCUAAUCUAUUGUAAAAAAGUUUUUACAGUAAAAUCGGUAAAGUGAUAUUUUUUUAGAUUAGAUACUAUACUCCACAUUGGUACUUUUAAUGGCUUCCAAACUAUGGCUUCCCAUUCCUUUUCACACUUUCCAGUUUGGUUCCAGCUCUAUAUUAUUUGAACAAAACAUAAUAAUGAAUUCAUAAUAAUGAAUUCAACCACAUGAGUUAAAUGAACUGAAGAAUUUAUUUUAGUACCCAAAGCCUUAGUAUCCUGAUCCUCAGCACAAGCACAACAGUUGGCACAUAGUAGGUUCCUAAGAAAAAGAUAUAUAUUAGGCAUUCAUUUCCUUUCCUCCUAUUUAAAUCCGCCUAGUAGUUUCAAACUUCUGCACUUUUUCUAAUCCCUCCCUGUCUACAGGAGUGUUAAGCACAUUGUAAUUAUCAUAUCAUAUAAUCCUCAAAAUUUGCUGCUCAAUUUUACUGAUGAGUGUUUGAAGCCUAUAGAAGUUUAAAAGCUGACAGAUUAGGGACCAUGUAGAAUGUUACACAAAACAUUGGGGAUUUGAUAUUGUAGAAACUAUGCUGCUCUUCCUUGUCUUUGUAAAAUCUGAAAAUUCUACUUUGGCCAUUUAAUUUCUAAAAGUAGAUUGUAAAAUUCAUGAACAUUAUAAAGUCUGUUACUGAGAAGUGAGGUAGAAUGCCAACUGAGCCAGGUGACCAGGCUUCACUAUGUUUUGUCACUAAAUAACUGUGUGGUCUUGGACAUGCUACUUUGUGUUUUGGACAUCAAUUUUCCUUCUUGUUAAAUGAAGGUACCCAAAUAGCUAUGUAAUAAAUAUCACUAAGCUCUAAAUAUUGUGGUUGUCAUUAUCAUAGUCUGACAUAAAAUAGAUUGAAAUACAAUUUCUUUAUAAAACCGACAAAGAAUAUAUAUCUGAUUUAUCAGAUCAUAAUUUGGCUGUGAAUAAAGAAUCAGGUGCUAAGGAUAGAAUUUAUGAGAUAAAGAAUAUAAUCUUCUCGACAAAAUGAAAACCCAAAGUAAAAACUGAUUUAAUAUAGUCAGACAUCUGGAUAUGUGACUAAAAUCUUCAGCUUUCAUGUGGCUGUUUGAUUUUGUGUGAAUAAUAUCAACUUAAAAAUGUUAGGACAAACUACCAGGUAUAAAAUAAAUAAACAGCAAAGAUUCAUUGUACAAUACAAGGAAAUAUAGCUGUUAAUACAUAAAAACUUAAAUGGCGUAAAUCUAUAAAAAUACUGAAUCACUAUGUUGUACACCUGAAACCAACAUAGUAAUGUAAAUCAAGCAUACAAUAAAAAUACUGGAACUAAAUUCAUAUCAAAAUAAAUAACCGGGCUUACCUAAUUUGAAAAAAAAAUAAUUUUUGAUUAAUUUAGCCUUAAAGAUAAAGACAAUAAUAGUUAUUUUGGCAUUUAAAAUAUUUUCUAUUAUUUUAUAAAAUAUAUUUAGCAAAAUAUCUAGGUACAUACCGAAGAAUAAGUGAUUCUGCAUAAAAUACAUUUUUUCUACUUUUUAUUGUUUUCCCAUUAAUUCUAAUUUGCUAAAUCAUAGAUUAUUCACCUCUUCUUACAUUAUACCUUUUUCUAGUGAUGAACUCUCACCUAAAAACAAAACAAAACAAAUUUGAAUUUAAAAAAUUGUUCAAUGUCACAAAAUAUUAAGUGAAAAAGAUGAAAAGAGAGUCAAUUAAUAUUUAUAUAUUUCUUGAUAGGUACUCUUUUAUAUUUCAUGAACCAAGAAAAUAGCCCCAAAUUUCAGUGAAUAUAAUUUCAGGGUUGUAGAAUGGUGGGGUGAGGUUUCAGUCACCUGGAGUAUCAUCGGUAGGUUAAAAGUUUAAAUUAUGAUGGAAAUUAAUUUUAAAAACAUAACAGCAGGCCUUUUAACUAUGAGGCAGAAAGCAUAUAGUCUCUUAUGGUAGAAAGAAGUAUAAUUAAAAAGCUAUCAAUAGUCUGUCAUUGUCAAAACUACCUUUGUCACCUGAAGCAUAUUCUUUGUAAUUAUAUUUUAGGCUUUAAGCUAGAUCACCAUUAACCUCAGAAAAAAAAGUAAGCAUUGCUAUGCUUUCUGGUGUGAGAAAUUAUAUCAUCAUGUAAAUUAAACCUCAUUCAGCAGUCAAAUUAGAUUUGGGAAAUGAUUGAGUAUUAAACCUACUCGUUUAUAUUAUCAAAUGACACCACCCUGAGAGCACUAGGGGAAAAGAGGAAGAGUUUCCCUUCUUUUGAAAGAUUUCAAGAUUCCUUAUAUGUAUUGAAUAUGAUUUUGAGCAGACAUCAGAGAAAUAAAAUUGAAGCAAUAGAAGGGAAAUGCAAAGAUAUUUUUAGCCUUUCCCUAAUGAUUUCUUUUCAGCUCUCAGACAGUACAAAAUGAGUCAACACUUAAGUAAGCCAGAAAUAAUAUAAUGAGUCUGCAAAAUUAUAGCUACCUACAGCUCAGAUCUUCAAUCAAGUAAUUGUUAAAGCCUCACUCACUAGGAGAAGGAACAAAUAUGUUCUCAAUUGAGCUUGCUUAAUAUUUUUAACCUUAUUGUCAAAGAAAGGAGUCAUAAUUAUGAGCACAAUACAUGAAGCAGAAAGCAGCACGAUUGCAUCGUCCUAAUGAUUAAUGUUUUUCCCCAAGGUGGUCUCUUCAGUGGUAGAUGAAGGAAUUCUAUGCAGCUUUCUAUCCCUGAUAAGAUGGUGGAGCCUAAUGCCAAAUCAUCAGCUACUGUCUUUCCUGAGUACUACUUGUAAAAAGUUAUGUUAAUUGAUAUAAGUGAUUAUCAGCUGUAUGCAGGAUAUAACCUAAAAGCAAAUGUGCAGUCAUAUUGAUCUAAUGUUGGAGACACAGGGCACACUGGAAGGUACUCUAUUGUAGCAUUAUUUGCAAAGAAACCUAUAACACAAGGUUUUUCUACCUUGAUGUGAUUGUCAUUUUGGCCAGAAAACUCUGUGUAUAAUAGCAUGUUUAGCAGCAUCCCUGGCUACUAGCCAUUAGACGCCAGUAGCAACCACUCAUCCUCAGUUGUGACAAACUGUCCCCUGGGAGGCCAAAUUGCCCCCAGUUGAAAACCACUUGUGCAAGAGCCUUGGAAGUACUAUAGAGCACAAAUGUUAUCUGUAUCUAUACAUCUAUAUGAAUAGACACAGACACACAUACACACACACACACAUAUAUUCACAACUCUAUUUACCAUUAUAUACAUCUAUAUACCAUCAUAUAAUAUAUAUACAUCUAUAAACACAUAUAUGCAUGUAUAUCAAUAUAUACAUAUAUACAAUCAUAUGUAUAUAUAUUCAAUUGUAUAUGUAUAUAUUACAUUUAUAAUACAUAGAUAUAGCAUUAUAUAUAGAGAGAAGCAUACAGGUAUACAUGCAAUAUAUGCAUGUAUAUGUAUUAAUAUAUGAUAUACAUUUAUAUACACAUAUAUAUUGUAUUGUGUGUAUAUAUGUAUAUUUAUAUGUCACAAAACCAUAAAGUCUUAAAACAUAUAAUAUUAUUGCAGAGAGGAUUAAGGUGGCAGAAUAGAAGGACUGGAGCUCAAAUUCUCUCCUAAAAAAACACCAAAAUUCACAACUAAAGGCUGAGCAAUCUCCACCCAAAUGCACUAGAAACCUUAAAAAAGAUACCCUACUCCAGAAGAAAAAGAGGAGGGCACAUCAAGAGGUAGGAGGGGCGAUUUCAUGAUAUAAACAACCCCACACCAUUGGGGUGGGAAGCUCCACAGACUGAAAACUAACUGGUUCACAGAGACUCACCUACAGGAGUGAGAGUUCUGAGCCCCACAUCAAACCCUCACGUGCGGGGAUCUGGCACUGGGAGAAAAAGCCCCUGGAGCAUCUGGCAUUGAAGGCCAGUGGGGCUUGUGUGCAGGAGCUCCUCAGUACUGGGGGAAAUGGAGACUCCAUUCUUAAAAGGCACACACGGACUUUCACCUGCCCUGGGUCCCAGGGCAGAGCGAGGUCUCCAUAGGAGUCUGAGUCAAACCUGACUGCAGUUCUUGGAGGACAUCCUGGGAAAACAGGGGUGAAUGUGGCUUGUUGUGAGGGAAGGACAUUGAAGGUAAAGCUCUCGGGAAUUUUCAGCAGCUGCCUUUCUCUGGAGGUGGCCAUUUUGGGAAAAUCGGCCCCACCCAUCAGUCAGCACUGAUAAGCCCCGGGCCAAACAACAAUCCAGGUGGGAGUACAGCCCCACCUUCAGUAAACAGGCCGCCUAAAGACCCCUCAGGCACAUAGCUGCCUCUAAUCCCAUCCAGAGGCUAAACCCCACCCACCAGAGGGAUUAGAAUCAGCUCCACAAACCAGUGGGCAGGCAUCAGCCCCUCCCAUCAGGAACCCUACAGCAAGCCCCCCAUACCAAAUUCAGCCACAAGGGGGGCAGACAUCAGAAGUAAGAGAGGCUACAACUCUAGUAUCUGUAAAAAGGUUACCACACCAAAAACCUAUCAAAAUGAAAAGACAGAGAGCUAUAACUCAGAUGAGGGAGAAAGAAAAAACCCCAGAAAGUCAGCUAAGCAAUGAGGAGAUUCUUAGCCUCCAGGAAAAAGACUUUAGAUUGUUGAUGCUGAAGAUGAUGCAAGACAUUGGAAAUAAACUGGAGGCAAAGAUGGAUAACUUACAGGAAACACUGACCAAAGAGAUACAAGAUAUUAAAUUUAAAAAAGAAGUGAUGCAAAAUACAAUAACUGAAAUAAAAAAAACUCACUAGAAGCAGCUAACAGCAGAAUACAGGAGGCAGAAGAAGGAAUAAGCGAGGUGGAGGACAGAUUAGUAGGAAUUACAGAUGCAGAACAGAAAAGAGAAAAAAGAUUGAAAACAAAUGAAGAGAGUCU
RNAcentral lists this long non-coding RNA (5301 nucleotides) under Sus scrofa (pig). RNAcentral's name for it is "lncRNA (ENSSSCG00035062135.1)". Lineage: Eukaryota; Metazoa; Chordata; Mammalia; Artiodactyla; Suidae. The record is from RNAcentral.